Molecule: transfer RNA, 85 nt
Filed under: Cordylochernes scorpioides
Lineage: Eukaryota; Metazoa; Arthropoda; Arachnida; Pseudoscorpiones; Chernetidae
Description: tRNA-Thr
Source: RNAcentral
UCCCUCGAGCCGGAUUUGAACCAGCGACCUAAGGAUCACCUUUGUAACAACUAGUCCUCCGCUCUGCCAACUGAGCUAUCGAGGG